AAAAUUAUAGUAUAAGGUAGUAUACCCUGUUGUCGACGGGGCGGUUGUUUAAUUUUG
RNAcentral lists this transfer RNA (57 nucleotides) under Toxocara apodemi. Its description in RNAcentral is "tRNA-Asp". Lineage: Eukaryota; Metazoa; Nematoda; Chromadorea; Rhabditida; Toxocaridae. The record is from RNAcentral.